AGUGAACGCUGGCGGUAGGCCUAACACAUGCAAGUCGAACGGCAGCACAGUAAGAGCUUGCUCUUACGGGUGGCGAGUGGCGGACGGGUGAGGAAUACAUCGGAAUCUACUUUUUCGUGGGGGAUAACGUAGGGAAACUUACGCUAAUACCGCAUACGACCUACGGGUGAAAGCAGGGGAUCUUCGGACCUUGCGCGAUUGAAUGAGCCGAUGUCGGAUUAGCUAGUUGGCGGGGUAAAGGCCCACCAAGGCGACGAUCCGUAGCUGGUCUGAGAGGAUGAUCAGCCACACUGGAACUGAGACACGGUCCAGACUCCUACGGGAGGCAGCAGUGGGGAAUAUUGGUCAAUGGGCGCAAGCCUGAUCCAGCCAUACCGCGUGGGUGAAGAAGGCCUUCGGGUUGUAAAGCCCUUUUGUUGGGAAAGAAAAGCAGCAGGUUAAUACCCCGCUGUUCUGACGGUACCCAAAGAAUAAGCACCGGCUAACUUCAUG
RNAcentral lists this ribosomal RNA (492 nucleotides) under uncultured bacterium. Its description in RNAcentral is "partial 16S ribosomal RNA". It matches the Rfam family "Bacterial small subunit ribosomal RNA", at positions 29 to 507 of the family's 1533-position model. The record is from RNAcentral.